CUCAAUGAAACUUCAAUAGCCGCAACCUUGUGCUAAGGUAGCAUAAUCAUUUGCCUUUUAAUUAAAGGCUAGAACGAAAGAUUUAACAUUUUUAAUACUUUUUUAAUUAUAAUUUUUUAAUUUAUUUUAAAUAUAAAAAAAUAUUUAUAAAAAAAAAAGACGACAAGACCCUAAUGAACUUAACUUUUGUUUAACUGGGGUAGUUAAUUAAAUAUUAUUUUAAAUUAUUAAAAAAAAACCUAAUAAAUUUAAUUAAUAAGUUACCAUAGGGAUAACAGCGUAAUAAUUUUCAAUAGAUCUUAUUUAAAAAAUAGAUUGCGACCUCGAUGUUGAAUUAAUAUCCUAUUAUACGCAAUAGUUUAAUAAGGAAGUCUGUUCGACUU
This 383-nucleotide ribosomal RNA is filed under the name Notiocoelotes maoganensis. RNAcentral describes it as "partial 16S ribosomal RNA". Lineage: Eukaryota; Metazoa; Arthropoda; Arachnida; Araneae; Agelenidae. The record is from RNAcentral.